Molecule: ribosomal RNA, 433 nt
Filed under: uncultured bacterium
Lineage: Bacteria
Description: partial 16S ribosomal RNA
Rfam family: Bacterial small subunit ribosomal RNA
Source: RNAcentral
AACGAACGCUGGCGGCAUGCCUAACACAUGCAAGUCGAACGAGACCUUCGGGUCUAGUGGCGCACGGGUGCGUAACGCGUGGGAACCUGCCCAUAGGUUUGGAAUAACUCCCCGAAAGGGGUGCUAAUACCGGAUCAUGUCUUCGGACCAACGAUUUAUCGCCUUUGGAUGGGCCCGCGUUGGAUUAGCUAGUUGGUAGGGUAAAAGCCUACCAAGGCGACGACCCAUAGCUGGUCUGAGAGGAUGAUCAGCCACACUGGGACUGAGACACGGCCCAGACUCCUACGGGAGGCAGCAGUGGGGAAUAUUGGACAAUGGGCGAAAGCCUGAUCCAGCAAUGCCGCGUGAGUGAUGAAGGCCUUAGGGUUGUAAAGCUCUUUUACCCGGGAUGAUAAUGACAGUACCGGGAGAAUAAGCUCCGGCUAACUCCGUG